UUACCUUUAGGAGGGGGAUAACAAUUGGAAACGAUUGCUAAUACCCCAUAUGCUUUUUUAAGUGAAAUGGAUUUUUCCGCCUAAAGAAAAGCUCGCGGCUGAUUAGCUAGUUGGUAAGGUAAUGGCUUACCAAGGCGACGAUCAGUAUCUGGUUUGAGAGGACGAUCAGACACACUGGAACUGAGACACGGUCCAGACUCCUACGGGAGGCAGCAGUGGGGAAUUUUCCGCAAUGGGCGAAAGCCUGACGGAGCAAUACCGCGUGAGGGAAGACAGCCUACUGGGUUGUAAACCUCUUUUUUCAGGGAGGAAAAAAAUGACGUGUACCUGAAGAAUAAGCAUCGGCUAACUCCGUGCCAGCAGCCGCGGUAAGACGGAGGAUGCAAGUGUUAUCCGGAAUUACUGGGCGUAAAGCGUCUGUAGGUUGUUUAAUAAGUCAACUGUUAAAUCUUGAGGCUUAACUUCAAAACAGCAGUCGAAACUAUUAGACUAGAGUAUAG
RNAcentral lists this ribosomal RNA (500 nucleotides) under uncultured bacterium. RNAcentral describes it as "bacterial SSU rRNA". It matches the Rfam family "Bacterial small subunit ribosomal RNA", at positions 126 to 651 of the family's 1533-position model. The record is from RNAcentral.